GACGAACGCUGGCGGCGUGCUUAACACAUGCAAGUCGAACGGAAAGGCCUUUUCGGAGGUACUCGAGUGGCGAACGGGUGAGUAACACGUGGGUGAUCUGCCCUGCACUCUGGGAUAAGCCUGGGAAACUGGGUCUAAUACCGGAUAGGACCGCACUUUAGUGUGUGUGGUGGAAAGUUUUUUCGGUGUAGGAUGAGCCCGCGGCCUAUCAGCUUGUUGGUGGGGUAAUGGCCUACCAAGGCGGCGACGGGUAGCCGGACUGAGGGGUUGGUCGGCCACAUUGGGACUGAGAGACGGCCCAGACUCCUACGGGAGGCAGCAGUGGGGAAUAUUGCACAAUGGGCGCAAGCCUGAUGCAGCGACGCCGCGUGGGGGAUGACGGCCUUCGGGUUGUAAACGCCUUUCGCCAGGGACGAAGCGUUUUGUGACGGUACCUGGAGAAGAAGCACCGGCUAACUACGUG
This 463-nucleotide ribosomal RNA is filed under the name uncultured bacterium. RNAcentral describes it as "partial 16S ribosomal RNA". It matches the Rfam family "Bacterial small subunit ribosomal RNA", at positions 28 to 507 of the family's 1533-position model. The record is from RNAcentral.